CAACGCGAAGAACCUUACCUGGUCUUGACAUCCACGGAAGUUUUCAGAGAUGAGAAUGUGCCUUCGGGAACCGUGAGACAGGUGCUGCAUGGCUGUCGUCAGCUCGUGUUGUGAAAUGUUGGGUUAAGUCCCGCAACGAGCGCAACCCUUAUCCUUUGUUGCCAGCGGUCCGGCCGGGAACUCAAAGGAGACUGCCAGUGAUAAACUGGAGGAAGGUGGGGAUGACGUCAAGUCAUCAUGGCCCUUACGACCAGGGCUACACACGUGCUACAAUGGCGCAUACAAAGAGAAGCGACCUCGCGAGAGCAAGCGGACCUCAUAAAGUGCGUCGUAGUCCGGAUUGGAGUCUGCAACUCGACUCCAUGAAGUCGGAAUCGCUAGUAAUCGUGGAUCAGAAUGCCACGGUGAAUACGUUCCCGGGCCUUGUACACACCGCCCGUCACACCAUGGGAGUGGGUUGCAAAAGAAGUAGGUAGCUUAACCUUCGGGAGGGCGCUUACCACUUUGUGAUUCAUGACUGGGGUGAAGUCGUAACAAGGUAACCGUAGGGGAACCUGCGGUUGGAUCACCUCCUUACCUUAAAGAAGCGUUCUUUGUAGUGCUCACACAGAUUGUCUGAUGAAAAUGAGCAGUAAAACCUCUACAGGCUUGUAGCUCAGGUGGUUAGAGCGCACCCCUGAUAAGGGUGAGGUCGGUGGUUCAAGUCCACUCAGGCCUACCAAAUUUGCACGGCAAAUUUGAAGAGGUUUUAACUACAUGUUAUGGGGCUAUAGCUCAGCUGGGAGAGCGCCUGCUUUGCACGCAGGAGGUCUGCGGUUCGAUCCCGCAUAGCUCCACCAUCUCUGUAGUGAUUAAAUAAAAAAUACUUCAGAGUGUACCUGCAGAGGUUCACUGCGAAGUUUUGCUCUUUAAAAAUCUGGAUCAAGCUGAAAAUUGAAACACUGAACAACGAGAGUUGUUCGUGAGUCUCUCAAAUUUUCGCAACACGAUGAUGAAUCGAAAGAAACAUCUUCGGGUUGUGAGGUUAAGCGACUAAGCGUACACGGUGGAUGCCCUGGCAGUCAGAGGCGAUGAAGGACGUGCUAAUCUGCGAUAAGCGUCGGUAAGGUGAUAUGAACCGUUAUAACCGGCGAUUUCCGAAUGGGGAAACCCAGUGUGAUUCGUCACACUAUCAUUAACUGAAUCCAUAGGUUAAUGAGGCGAACCGGGGGAACUGAAACAUCUAAGUACCCCGAGGAAAAGAAAUCAACCGAGAUUCCCCCAGUAGCGGCGAGCGAACGGGGAGGAGCCCAGAGCCUGAAUCAGUGUGUGUGUUA
Molecule: ribosomal RNA, 1316 nt
Filed under: Escherichia coli 1-110-08_S1_C2
Lineage: Bacteria; Pseudomonadati; Pseudomonadota; Gammaproteobacteria; Enterobacterales; Enterobacteriaceae
Description: partial 23S ribosomal RNA
Rfam family: Bacterial small subunit ribosomal RNA (bases 1-576)
Source: RNAcentral